CCUACGGGGGGCUGCAGUGGGGAAUAUUGGACAAUGGGGGAAACCCUGAUCCAGCGACGCCGCGUGAGUGAAGAAGUAUUUCGGUAUGUAAAGCUCUAUCAGCAGGGAAGAAAAUGACGGUACCUGACUAAGAAGCCCCGGCUAACUACGUGCCAGCAGCCGCGGUAAUACGUAGGGGGCAAGCGUUAUCCGGAUUUACUGGGUGUAAAGGGAGCGUAGACGGCACUGCAAGUCUGGAGUGAAAGCCCGGGGCUCAACCCCGGGACUGCUUUGGAAACUGUGGUGCUAGAGUGCAGGAGAGGUAAGUGGAAUUCCUAGUGUAGCGGUGAAAUGCGUAGAUAUUAGGAGGAACACCAGUGGCGAAGGCGGCUUACUGGACUGUAACUGACGUGAGCUCGAAAGCGUGGGGAGCAAACAGCGAUUAGAUACCCCAGUAGUCA
RNAcentral lists this ribosomal RNA (440 nucleotides) under uncultured bacterium. RNAcentral describes it as "bacterial SSU rRNA". It matches the Rfam family "Bacterial small subunit ribosomal RNA", at positions 338 to 796 of the family's 1533-position model. The record is from RNAcentral.